RNAcentral lists this ribosomal RNA (1302 nucleotides) under uncultured Bacillota bacterium. RNAcentral's name for it is "uncultured Firmicutes bacterium partial 16S ribosomal RNA". It matches the Rfam family "Bacterial small subunit ribosomal RNA". The record is from RNAcentral. Lineage: Bacteria; Bacillati; Bacillota.
AGAGUUUGAUUAUGGCUCAGGACAACGCUGGCGGCGUGCCUAACACAUGCAAGUCGAGCGAAGUAUUACUUAGCGGCGGACGGGUGAGUAACGCGUGAGCAACCUGCCUUUCACAAAGGGAUAGCCUCGGGAAACUGGGAUUAAUACCAUAUAACUUACCUUUCGCAUGGAAGGAAAGUCAAAGCGAUAAGCGGUGAAAGAUGGGCUCGCGUCCUAUUAGCUAGUUGGUGAGGUAACGGCUCACCAAGGCGACGAUAGGUAGCCGGCCUGAGAGGGUGAACGGCCACACUGGAACUGAGACACGGUCCAGACUCCUACGGGAGGCAGCAGUGGGGGAUAUUGCACAAUGGAGGAAACUCUGAUGCAGCGACGCCGCGUGAGUGAGGUUCGUCGAGCUCUGUCCUAGGGGUAAACCCUAGGAGGAAGCCCCGGCAACUACGUGCCAGCAGCCGCGGUAAUACGUAGGGGGCGAGCGUUGUCCGGAAUUACUGGGCGUAAAGAGUUCGUAGGCGGUCUGAUAAGUCAGAUGUGAAAGGCGUAGGCUCAACCUAUGUAAGCAUAUGAAACUGUCAGACUUGAGGUAAGGAGAGGAAAGUGGAAUUCCUAGUGUAGCGGUGAAAUGCGUAGAUAUUAGGAGGAAUACCAGUGGCGAAGGCGACUUUCUGGACUAAACUGACGCUGAGGAACGAAAGCGUGGGGAGCAAACAGGAUUAGAUACCCUGGUAGUCCACGCCGUAAACGAUGAGUGCUAGGUGUUGGGGAGACUCAGUGCCGCAGCUAACGCAAUAAGCACUCCGCCUGGGGAGUACGACCGCAAGGUUGAAACUCAAAGGAAUUGACGGGGACCCGCACAAGCAGCGGAGCAUGUGGUUUAAUUCGAAGCAACGCGAAGAACCUUACCAGGUCACACUCUGACAAUCCAAGAGAUUGGGCUUUCGGGAGAAGGUGGUGCAUGGUUGUCGUCAGCUCGUGUCGUGAGAUGUUGGGUUAAGUCCCGCAACGAGCGCAACCCCUGUGGUUAGUUGCCAUCAUUUAGUUGGGCACUCUAAGCAGACUGCCGUGGAUAACACGGAGGAAGGUGGGGACGACGUCAAAUCAUCAUGCCCCUUAUGACCUGGGCUACACACGUGCUACAAUGGUCUGAACAGAGGGCUGCGAAACCGCGAGGUGAAGCUAUCCCUUAAAACAGAUCUCAGUUCGGAUUGCAGGCUGCAACUCGCCUGCAUGAAGUUGGAGUUGCUAGUAAUCGCAGGUCAGCAUACUGCGGUGAAUACGUUCCCGGGCCUUGUACUCACCCCCGUC